CAAAGAUAAGUUCAGUGUUCCUGAGCUUGCAGCAGAGAGCCACAUUGGAACUGAGUCAUCAUUGGCCUGUUCUGGAAGAUAUCCUGCUGAACUCUCCCCAAGACGUUGACAGCAUUCCAAAAACGUGAUGAUCAGAAUUUAAUGCUGCAACUGAGGCCUAACCAGUAAUUUAUGAAGGUGAUGCCUGCCCCAACCAGAGACAGGUCCAGCUCUCGCCUGAAGGAAUUCAGCAGAAAUCAACAUCCACCGCGGGAGACGGCAGACAUCCACUAUUCUCUGGAGAACGACCCAC
Molecule: long non-coding RNA, 292 nt
Organism: Carcharodon carcharias (great white shark)
Lineage: Eukaryota; Metazoa; Chordata; Chondrichthyes; Lamniformes; Lamnidae
Exons: 3
Source: RefSeq, a predicted model, not a curated record